Molecule: ribosomal RNA, 385 nt
Filed under: uncultured bacterium
Lineage: Bacteria
Description: bacterial SSU rRNA
Rfam family: Bacterial small subunit ribosomal RNA
Source: RNAcentral
AUUGAACGCUGGCGGCAUGCUUUACACAUGCAAGUCGAACGGCAACACGGGGGCAACCCUGGUGGCGAGUGGCGAACGGGUGAGUAAUACAUAGGAACGUAUCCUGAAAUGGGGGAUAGCUCGGCGAAAGCCGGAUUAAUACCGCAUACGAUCUACGGAUGAAAGCAGGGGAUUCGCAAGAACCUUGCGUUUCUGGAGCGGCCUAUGUCUGAUUAGCUAGUUGGCGGGGAAAAGCCCACCAAGGCGACGAUCAGUAGCUGGUCUGAGAGGAUGAUCAGCCACACUGGGACUGAGACACGGCCCAGACUCCUACGGGAGGCAGCAGUGGGGAAUUUUGGACAAUGGGGGCAACCCUGAUCCAGCCAUGCCGCGUGAGUGAAGAAGG